Molecule: ribosomal RNA, 468 nt
Filed under: uncultured bacterium
Lineage: Bacteria
Description: partial 16S ribosomal RNA
Rfam family: Bacterial small subunit ribosomal RNA
Source: RNAcentral
GACGAACGCUGGCGGCGUGCUUAACACAUGCAAGUCGAACGGAAAGGCCCUGCUUUUGUGGGGUGCUCGAGUGGCGAACGGGUGAGUAACACGUGAGUAACCUGCCCUUGACUUUGGGAUAACUUCAGGAAACUGGGGCUAAUACCGGAUAGGAGCUCCUGCUGCAUGGUGGGGGUUGGAAAGUUUCGGCGGUUGGGGAUGGACUCGCGGCUUAUCAGCUUGUUGGUGGGGUAGUGGCUUACCAAGGCUUUGACGGGUAGCCGGCCUGAGAGGGUGACCGGCCACAUUGGGACUGAGAUACGGCCCAGACUCCUACGGGAGGCAGCAGUGGGGAAUAUUGCACAAUGGGCGGAAGCCUGAUGCAGCAACGCCGCGUGCGGGAUGACGGCCUUCGGGUUGUAAACCGCUUUCGCCUGUGACGAAGCGUGAGAGACGGUAAUGGGUAAAGAAGCACCGGCUAACUACGUA